CAGAGGUCAUCAUUAAAUCC
Molecule: unclassified non-coding RNA, 20 nt
Filed under: Chlamydomonas reinhardtii
Lineage: Eukaryota; Viridiplantae; Chlorophyta; Chlorophyceae; Chlamydomonadales; Chlamydomonadaceae
Description: small RNA Cre_0917
Source: RNAcentral